CUUGGGUAGGAGCUGGGAUACUCCCCUAGGGACCCCAGCCAGGCACUGUCCUCGGAGAGGAGCUGGGACACCCCUUCAGGGACCCCAACCUGGCACUGCCCUCGGAGGCGUGAGGAUCUAUGAAGAUGGUGCGGCGCUCAAAUACCACGGUCCACAGAUGGAUAGCCUGUUCUAGAGAUCUGUCGAUUACUUUCCACUGUGUUCAGAGAGGCCCUUGUCUCUUCAUUCAGGCACAGCUCUAGAAGUAUGCGACCAUGGUGAGUGACCUCAAUACGUGGGCAAAGACAUUCCCCCGAGGCAUGUGUCUGGGCUGCAGCUCAACAGCCAUGCUGCCAAACUGCUGGAUGCUGCAGGUGACUAACAAGGACGAGGCGCCAAAGUCACUUGUGCGGAUUUAUUUGUUACUGCUACUAAUAAAGAUUGUCUACCUCAGCUAAACUGGAGUCUGGAGACAAUUAGCUUGUUCUGUGAAACAAGACCCCUUGCGCUACGGCGGCCGUGUUAAACAAUUACCAUCCCUUUAAACAGGGCAUAGGAGGAGGAAGGUGGUAGCAGGCUCCCCUUCACCCCUGCUCAAGCAAGCGACUCUAUUAUCCCCUCCUCGCAGUGAACUCUUGCAGCUUGCGCUUCAGGAAGCAGCAAUGGGAGCAGACGGAUAUUUUUCCUACCCUUUGCACUUGUUAGAUGAAAAUCAUCUCCCCGGUAGAAUCGACUAUAGAGGAAGCCGCUGGCCUGCUGGAUGGCUCUACAGAAACGGGUGUGUAAAACACGCUCUGGAUAAUGAUGUGUGCGCUCAUAAUAAUGAUUUUAAUACCUGUUAGAACUGACAGCUGUACACGUUCUCUGCUCUGUCGACAGAUGUUCUUCUGCCUGGCGAGAUCCACAACGGUUCUGGGAGUGGAUUACACUUUUGGAGAUGUGCUGGUGUGCAGCACCUGUGAAGAUCCUCCAACAUGGUUCCAUGUUGUGUUCACUUGUGGCUACCCCUGGGCCAGCCUCAGGAGGUUCGUAUGAACAGCCGGAGCAAAAGCAAAACACGUGGAUAACCCCUGAAGCAUUUGGGGAUGAAGGAGUGAUGCUACAGACAGUAGCCACCCCACCUGGAUGUUGAUCUUCCUGCUUCUGGACAGCCUUCUCUUGAAGUAAGCAAACGGCAGUAUUUCCCAAGCUCUGCCACUUGUGACGUAAAACUGAGAUGCUGCUCAUAGUAGACUGUUGAGGCAAACAUCACUGCUUGGUUUACAUACAGAAGCAUGGGGUUCAGGGUACAUGGUGGCAGCGAACAGGGAAACGUGUAAUGAGGGCUCACUGGGUUUCAACAGACUUCAAACAUGGUGCUCAAAUCAUCUAUUCCUGAAAUUUUAUACAGAUAAACCUGUAACCAAAAUUAAAGAUGGCCCUACUGUCAACCUAGCAUCUUUGCUUUUCAGUUGAAUCACUUUCUCCCACUCUUUCUGGCUUUGAAUAUUUAUUUUAUAAGGUUUUCAGGGCAUUCAACAUGGGCCAGAUUCUAUUCCAUGUAUUCGGUGUGCCACUUGACUUAAGCACCUGUGCCAUUUUAUUUCUAUCCUGCUCACGUCCUUAAAAAAACCGUUAAUGCAAAAGAUGGCUGGGGUUCUUCUUGUCUUUUGUGGCACAAUCUUAUGGGCCACAGUUGAUGAAUGGAUGGAUUUAAAGGCACGUGAGCAGGAUGGAGUAGAAUCACAAGUAGGUGUGUAAGUCCACUUAUGGGAAGAAUAGAAUCUGGCCCUAUGUCUUCCUAAAGGGCAGCUUACAAUACAUUUGUUCAUAUUAAAUAUUCCUAUAAGAUGUAAUCUUGACAGAGAGGCUCUUAUGGAAAAAAGGGAUAUUUCAAAGGCUAGAGUAUACUGACAUGUGGCAAAUGCUAGGACAUAGGAUGAUCAUAGACUACUGAAUCAGUAAGUCCAGGUUGUAGUGUUGUUUUUAUCCAAGUGGGAAAGUAGGGGCAUUCCUCUGGCAUCUGGAAUCGCCAAGGAGAGAAUUAAUGCCAACAUCCGAUGCUGGUUGUGCAGAUGCUUAGCCCUUUGAAGCUUCUCUCGAGGGAUGGGGACAGCAUAAAUUGGCUUCACCUUGUUCAGGAAGCCUGGUAAGACCAAGAUCCUGUGACUUUAUUAUGUGAAAGCACUGAUCUGAGGGACACAGGCUUAUUGUAGGACAAAGAAGUGACAGAAUUGUGUACUUUACCCCCUGAUUUUAUGAAGAAUAAUGGAGGUGGGUAACAGCAGAUAAGAUGGGUAUGCAUGUAAACUGUUUACUGCUCAUUAAAA
This is a long non-coding RNA of Alligator sinensis (Chinese alligator), 2288 nucleotides long. RefSeq lists it as uncharacterized. The record is from RefSeq and is a predicted model, not a curated record. The transcript is spliced from 3 exons. NCBI's taxonomy places the organism in Eukaryota, Metazoa, Chordata, Crocodylia, Alligatoridae.